AGAAUCAACGCUGGCGGCGUGCCUAACACAUGCAAGUCGAACGAGAAAGUGGGAGCAAUCCCAUUAGUAAAGUGGCGCACGGGUGAGUAACACGUGACUAACCUACCCUUGAGUGGGGGGAUAACCUAGGGAAACCUGGGCUAAUACCGCAUAAUACCUACGGGUCAAAGGAGCAAUUCGCUUUAGGAGGGGGUCGCGGCAGAUUAGUUAGUUGGCGGGGUAAUGGCCCACCAAGACAGUGAUCUGUAUCCGGCCUGAGAGGGCGCACGGACACACUGGAACUGAAACACGGUCCAGACUCCUACGGGAGGCAGCAGUGGGGAAUUUGCGCAAUGGGGGAAACCCUGACGCAGCAACGCCGCGUGGAGGAUGAAGCCCCUUGGGGCGUAAACUCCUUUCGAUCGGGAAGAUAAUGACGGUACCGGAAGAAGAAGCCCAGGCUAACUUCGUGCCAGCAGCCGC
This 462-nucleotide ribosomal RNA is filed under the name uncultured bacterium. Its description in RNAcentral is "SSU rRNA". It matches the Rfam family "Bacterial small subunit ribosomal RNA", at positions 26 to 518 of the family's 1533-position model. The record is from RNAcentral.